GUAGGAUCCGAGCGUUGUCCGGAUUUACUGGGUGUAAAGGGUGCGCAGGCGGACUGGUAAGUCAGUGGUGAAAUCUCGUCGCUUAACGACGAAACUGCCUUUGAUACUAUCAGUCUUGAGUCCGGUAGAGAUCUGUGGAAUUCCGAGUGUAGCAGUGAAAUGUGUAGAUAUUCGGAAGAACACCAGUGGCGAAGGCAGCAGAUUGGGCCGGUACUGACGCUCAUGCACGAAAGCGUGGGGAUCAAACAGGAUUAGAUACCCUGGUAGUCCACGCCCUAAACGAUGUACACUUGAUGUCGGCCUGUAAGGGUCGGUGUCGGAGCUAACGCGUUAAGUGUACCACCUGGGGAGUACGCUCGCAAGGGUG
This 367-nucleotide ribosomal RNA is filed under the name uncultured organism. RNAcentral's name for it is "bacterial SSU rRNA". It matches the Rfam family "Bacterial small subunit ribosomal RNA", at positions 527 to 896 of the family's 1533-position model. The record is from RNAcentral.